RNAcentral lists this ribosomal RNA (776 nucleotides) under Didymella glomerata. RNAcentral describes it as "eukaryotic LSU rRNA". It matches the Rfam family "Eukaryotic large subunit ribosomal RNA", at positions 1 to 793 of the family's 3401-position model. Lineage: Eukaryota; Fungi; Ascomycota; Dothideomycetes; Pleosporales; Didymellaceae. The record is from RNAcentral.
UCUUGACCUCGGAUCAGGUAGGGAUACCCGCUGAACUUAAGCAUAUCAAUAAGCGGAGGAAAAGAAACCAACAGGGAUUGCCCUAGUAACGGCGAGUGAAGCGGCAACAGCUCAAAUUUGAAAUCUGGCGUCUUCGGCGUCCGAGUUGUAAUUUGCAGAGGGCGCUUUGGCAUUGGCAGCGGUCCAAGUUCCUUGGAACAGGACGUCACAGAGGGUGAGAAUCCCGUACGUGGUCGCUAGCCUUUACCGUGUAAAGCCCCUUCGACGAGUCGAGUUGUUUGGGAAUGCAGCUCUAAAUGGGAGGUAAAUUUCUUCUAAAGCUAAAUACUGGCCAGAGACCGAUAGCGCACAAGUAGAGUGAUCGAAAGAUGAAAAGCACUUUGGAAAGAGAGUAAAAAGCACGUGAAAUUGUUGAAAGGGAAGCGCUUGCAGCCAGACUUGCCUGUAGUUGCUCAUCCGGGUUUUUACCCGGUGCACUCUUCUAUAGGCAGGCCAGCAUCAGUUUGGGCGGUUGGAUAAAGGUCUCUGUCAUGUACCUCUCUUCGGGGAGAACUUAUAGGGGAGACGACAUGCAACCAGCCUGGACUGAGGUCCGCGCAUCUGCUAGGAUGCUGGCGUAAUGGCUGUAAGCGGCCCGUCUUGAAACACGGACCAAGGAGUCUAACAUCUAUGCGAGUGUUUGGGUGUCAAGCCCGAGCGCGUAAUGAAAGUGAACGGAGGUGGGAACCUUUCGGGGUGCACCAUCGACCGAUCCUGAUGUCUUCGGAUGGAUUUGA